CAUGGUUCACGUGAUAGUCAGUUUUCUUUGACUGUAAAUCUGUCAGCCAGAGAGCUUUAAGAUUAGCCCACAGGCAAGCCAAUAGGGUAUCUCUGGGAGACAAUUUGAAAAAUUUGGUAAGACUAUGGAGCCUGUCCCACCCUUCAGGUGUCCCUAGAGCUUUGGGAAGGCAAACAGAGACUGAGAUCUGAGGAUUGCAGUUCACAGGCAG
Perognathus longimembris pacificus (Pacific pocket mouse) is the source of this 211-nucleotide long non-coding RNA. RefSeq lists it as uncharacterized. The transcript has 3 exons. The record is from RefSeq and is a predicted model, not a curated record. NCBI's taxonomy places the organism in Eukaryota, Metazoa, Chordata, Mammalia, Rodentia, Heteromyidae.